AACGAACGCUGGCGGCAGGCCUAACACAUGCAAGUCGAACGCCGUAGCAAUACGGAGUGGCAGACGGGUGAGUAACACGUGGGAACGUACCCUUCGGUUCGGGAUAACUCAGGGAAACUUGAGCUAAUACCGGAUACGUCCGAGAGGAGAAAGAUUUAUCGCCGAGGGAUCGGCCCGCGUCUGAUUAGCUUGUUGGUGAGGUAACGGCUCACCAAGGCGACGAUCAGUAGCUGGUCGAGAGGAUGAUCAGCCACAUUGGGACUGAGACACGGCCCAAAACUCCUACGGGAGGCAGCAGUGGGGAAUAUUGGACAAUGGGCGCAAGCCUGAUCCAGCCAUGCCGCGUGAGUGAUGAAGGCCCUAGGGUUGUAAAGCUCUUUUACCCGGGAAGAUAAUGACUGUACCGGGAGAAUAAGCCCCGGCUAACCUUCGUGCCAGCAGCCGCAGUAAU
RNAcentral lists this ribosomal RNA (451 nucleotides) under uncultured bacterium. Its description in RNAcentral is "bacterial SSU rRNA". It matches the Rfam family "Bacterial small subunit ribosomal RNA", at positions 29 to 524 of the family's 1533-position model. The record is from RNAcentral.